Molecule: transfer RNA, 75 nt
Filed under: Dehalococcoidia bacterium
Lineage: Bacteria; Bacillati; Chloroflexota; Dehalococcoidia
Description: tRNA-Gly
Rfam family: tRNA
About the family: Transfer RNA (tRNA) molecules are approximately 80 nucleotides in length.
Source: RNAcentral
GCGGGUGUAACUCAGUGGUAGAGUACUUGCUUCCCAAGCAAGGGGUCGUGGGUUCGAAUCCCAUCACCCGCUCCA